This is a long non-coding RNA of Acinonyx jubatus (cheetah), 7141 nucleotides long. RefSeq lists it as uncharacterized. The record is from RefSeq and is a predicted model, not a curated record. The transcript has 4 exons. Lineage: Eukaryota; Metazoa; Chordata; Mammalia; Carnivora; Felidae.
UCAUAUCUUGGGUAUUGCAAAUAAUACUGCAAUGAACCUAGGGGUGUAUAUAUCUUUUCAUUUUAGUGUUUUUAUUUUCUUUGAAUAGAUACCCAGAAGUGGAAUUGCUGGAUCAUAUAUAUGAUAGUUAUAUUUUUUUUAUUUUUUGAGGAACCUCCAUACUGUUUUCUAUAGUGUUUGCCCCAGUUUACAUUCUCACCAACAGUGCCUGAGGGUUCCAUUUUAUCCAUAUCUAUGCCAACACUUUUUAUUUUAUUUAUCAUCUUUUUGAUGAUAGUCACUUGAACAGGUGUGAGGUGCGGAGAUAUCUCAUUGUGGUUUUGAUUUGCAUUUCCCUGAUGAUUAGUUAGGUUGAGCAUUUUUUUAUGUGCCUCUUGGCCAUCUUCAUGUCCUCUUUGGAAAAAACUGUUCUUUUCUUUUCAGAUCCUCUGCUUAUUUUAAAAUCAGACUGUUUGUGAGUUUUGUUGUUGUUAUUAUUGAACUAAGUUCUUUAUAUAUUUUGGAUAUCAUCCCCUUAUUGAAUAUAUAGAUUGCAAAUAUCUUCUCUCAUUCAGUAGGUUGCCUGUUCAGUUUGUUAAUAAUUUUCUUCACUGUACAGAUGCUUUUUAGUUUGAUGUAGUUCUAUUUGUUUAUUUUUGCUUUUGUUGCCAUUGCCUUUGGAGUCAGAUCCAAAAAUUCUUCACUAAGACCAUUAUCAAAGAACUUACCGUCUAUGUUAUUUAUGACUUUAAUGGUUUCAGAUCUCACAUUCAAGUCUUUUAAUCCAUUUUGGGUUUGUGGUGUAAGAUAGUGGUCUAGUUUCAUUCUUUUUUAUGUAGGUAAACAUUUUUCCAAUACUAUUUAUUGUGGAAAUUGUCUUUUUUUAUUGUAUAUUCUUGGUUCCAUUGUCAUAAAUUAAUUGACCAUAUGUUUAGAUUUAUUCCUGGGCUCUUUUUCUGUUCUGUUGAUCUGUGUGUCUCUUUUUAUGAUACUAUUUUACUGUUUGAUUACUGUAGCUUUGUAGUAUAGUAUGAAAAUGGAGCAUACAUCUGGCUUUUUUUUUUUCACUUGAGAUUUCUUUGGCUACUUGGGGUCUUUAUGGUUCCAUACAAAUUUUAGAAUUACUUAUUUUUGUUCUAUGAAAAUGCCACGGGAUUUUGAAAGGAAUUGCAUUGAAUCUGUAGAUUGCUUUGGCUGAUAUGGGCAUUUUUAACAAUAUUACUUCUUCCAUUCCAUGAGCACAGAAUGUCCUUCCAUUUAUUUGUGUCUUCUUCAGUUUCUUUCCAUCAGUGACUUUCAGUUUUCAGUAUAUAGGUCUUUCACCUCCUUAGUUAAAUUUAUUCCUAGGUAUUUUAUUCUUUUUGAUAUAAUUUUAAAUGGAAUUAUUUUCUUGAUUUCUCUUUCUGUUAGUUUAUUAUUAGUGUAUAGAAUGCAAUAGAUUUUAAAGUACUUAUUUUAAGUUAUUUAAAAUACAUCCCAAUCUCACUGGUCUAAGGCAAAUUUUUGAAUACAAAUGUCUAAGGCAAAGCAGACUAAUGAUAAAACAUAUGUUUAUCAUUCUUGGGUACAUGUGAGACCAAAUACACUGAGAAAAAGAGGUGCCACUUGUCUACUUUUAAUAAUGAUAUAAAUAUCACUUAGGAUUGGCAUACUGUUUAUAAACAGCUACAAGAUUUCUGUAUUUUUUUACAUGCCCCAAAUGUGUUUUCCUAAGGAGGAUAAAUAUUCCCACUGAACUCCUACUUAUCCUUCUAAUUUGCUCAUUUUUAAAAUUCUAUAAGUCAAUGAAUUUCAAAUUGACAGAGUUUGAAUUAAUGUGAUUUAGAUCAUAGAUCAAAGACUUAGCAUUUUAAAUGAAAAUACAUUUUCUAUUGUACUUCUAAGGCAGGGAUUUGUGAAGUGUAUAAAGCACACUUCAUAUGAGUAAACAACCUAAAAAUUAUCUAUUCCAUUCAUUUUUAGACUUUUUUUGAGAAAAGAUUUCUACUGUGAGCAAGUUUUUCAUUUGUAAAGGAGCCCAAUAAAUAAGAGCAGAGAAAAGUAGAGUGUUUUGUUUGAAGUGUGAGAUCACCAUCAUUAAGCAAUGACCGCAAUGUAGGACACAGAGAAUUUUUUUUUAAUGUGAUAGGCAUACAUCUUAAUGGUAAAGAGUACUGCAUAUGCAAGGGUACAUUAGAGUGGUAGAGAACGUGUAACUGGGUUCAAAUUGCAACUCUACCAGUAAUUCUGGAAUCCUGAGUGAGCUUCUAUGUAUAAAAUUGGGAAAGUGCCAUUACUUCCUCAUUAUGAUUAUUGGAUACUAAUGUGUUAAUUAGUAUGAAGUUCUAGCAUGAACUAGGCACAUGGAAAGUGCUCAAUACAUGUUAUUUAUUAUUAAUAAUAAUAUUAAUAUUAUUAUGAGAUUAUUAUAACCUGGUAUAUCAUUUAGUUCUAAUUCUUUAAUUUUAUCAACCCUUUUCAACUGUUUCAGGAGGCAUCUACCUUAUUUACACCUGAGUUUCAAUGUCCAAUGAUUCAUUUUGUACGUUGUAGCCUUUUACUAUUGAUUUGCUAUUUAUUAGUUGAUGUAUCGGUAUUCAUUUAUUUGAUGAUAUAUUAUUAUUUACUGAUUUGGUAGUAUUUAGCUGCUUACAUCCCUAAAAUCUAGUUUCCUGGAUUUUAACCAAGUCUCUAUUUUCCAGGUAACUAGGAGGAAAUCUGUCCUUUCUUCUUUCGUCUCCUCAUGCGAUCACUAAUUUUCCUCUCCUAGACCAAAGGAUUGUUGCUUUCUCCCCCACUGCUUCUUUUUUUUUUAAAUGUUGUUUUGUUUUGUUUGAAAGGAAAGAAGAAAGCAUUUUUACCAACUUUACCAAAAUAUACUGUCCAGUGAAGGGUAAUCAUAAGAAAAGAAGAAAAGGGAUUUGCACACAAAAAGACCUGGGUUCAUAUUACCCAAUCUUUCCCUUACUAGCUUUGUAGGUUGGGGCAGAUUACUCACCAUGAGGCUCCUCAGCUUCCUCAUUUGUAUAAUGAGCAUACUGCUAACUUUGUAGAAUGGUAAGGAUGAGAAAACAUGUAUAUCUAGAAUGGAGAGAAUCUUUAAUGUUGACUCUGAUUAUUAUCAUUUCCUGUUUUAUUAUAACAAUUCAUCAUUUAGUUAACAAAUCAAAAGCCACAGUUUAUUUCAAUAUUUAAUUUUCAGUAAAACUGGAGUAUGCUUAAUCAUCACACAUAAUUUGAAACUGGCAAAAGCUAAGCUCAGAAUUUCCUCCCAUUUCAGCUGAUGAAGCAUUAUUCAACUACUUUUAUGCAUAACAAACCAAUAGGAUGUUAAUUUUAAAUUUUAAAAGAUCUCAUUUUGAAGAUCCCAAUCAUUGAAGACUUCUUUGUUUCAUGGCUUAUCAACAUUUUAGGUAAAGAUAUUUUCAGGACCAUGAAGAACACAAGAAAACGUCAAGUUUAUGUAAUGUAAUUUGCAUUUCCAGUUAGAAUCAUAUUUGAAAUUUGAUGCAGUGUAAAUGAACAAACACAAAUUAUAUGUGUUUGUGUUUCUUUUGUGAACAAAAGAAACCAGACUUUGAGAAGCCAAGCAGUGGAUAUGAUAUAAGUCAGAAUCAUUCAGUCAAAGAUUCCUUCGCAAAUGCAUCUACUGGAGUGAAGACCUUGGCUUUGGAGUAUUACCAUCCUGAAUUCAAAUACUCUCUUCAAACCUUAGCUGUGUGACCAUCACAAAUUUGGCAGCUCCUUUGAUCAGUAUUAUUCCCCCCGCCCCAUGUGAAUACUAGCAUCUACUUUAUGAAGUGGUUGUGAAGAAUAGGGAAGACACCAUGAUUGUCAUAUAGUGAUGACUAACCAGUUGCACAUAUACCUUUUCCCAAGGUCCCCAACUAUGUUACAAGAGUGGGAAAAACAACAAUAACAAAGGAUGGCUAAGAAAUGGUUUCUGUCUUUGCAGGCAUCCCAGUCUAACUGCUACUGGAAGUGUGGGCCAGCAUGGUUGCUCCAUGUGGGGCUACAACCAUGCACUAACUUCACACAUUGACUGAGUAUAGGCUUGAAAAUUGAUUUGCCUGGGUAAUUCCUAGAUCUACCACCUACUUGCUCUGUAAAUUUAGGCAGGUUAUUUAACCCCUGUAAGGUUUUGUUUUCUCACCUUUAAAAUAAAGCUGAUAAGGAUAAUGGAAGCAUUUCUUUCAUACAUGUAUAUGUGUAGUUUAUGGACUCAGUGAAAAUCUUGUUAUAUUUACUACUUAAUAAUAAUUAAUCAGACAAACAGCAGUAUACUUGAAGUCAUUUUUAAAAACUUUUUUCCAGUUACCAGAAAUUUUGAGUUCUCAUACACAAGUCACACAAGCAUAGACAGGAAUGAUCUUUAUUAUAUUCCAUCUUUUUCAGACACUCAGACAAUGGGUUCUCAGUAAGCACCACAUUGGGGACACUGCAGUUAAUAUUAAUAGGAAGGAUGAUGACCUCUGUAUAGCCUCAGAGAAAAGAAAAAGUCAUCAGUUUUUAAUGCUCCUCUCAAGGAGCCUACCAUUGCCAUCUCUAAGUGCUCAGAACAUUAUCUUGCUACAGAUAUCUCCACCCUUGUGGCAGAGUCUACAUUAUUGUGGUAUCUAAUCAUAACACAGUGAAAUUCAUAUAUUUUACUCUAAUUAAUGUCAUUGUAAAGGGUGUGCUGUGAUGAAUAUAUGUAAAUAUCUCAUGAGUUUGACCAUGCUUUCAGCUCUGAACUCUGGCUUCCAGGAGUCAGUGCGAACUAAUUGAAUAACAGAAAACUCAUAAUUUAGCUACUGUAAAGAAACUGAAAGUGUCCUAUAAACUAUGCAACUAGGUCAGGAUACAUGAUUAUCUUUAGAAUAAAAUUUGAAGUAAUUCUCUAGUUUCUUUGUGUCUUCUGAAUAUUAGCUGAACAUAUUAAAUUGGAAGAAUGGACAUGUACAAGUUUGGAAAUGGAAGACACAUUUUAAAUGUAACUCCUUCAGCCUGCAGUGUCACACAUACUACUGAGGUCCUUAGUGGGUGCUCUGUAAAUGCUUGUUACCCCAAGAAAAACAUUGGAAGGUCACAAAGAAAAUGGGUAGGAUUCCUUUGUGCUCUUUUUUUCAGUUUUGUAUGGCUAUGUAUCCUCAGGCAAUGUCCUGGAUUUCUUUCUCUGAGCUGAGAGGGAUAACAUUCAUGUCUCCUCUCUCCCCUAAGGCCAGACCUUCAUCAAGUCCCAUUUAGAUUGCUACAACUGUGUUCUGCCUUGUCUGCCCUCUCCUGGUCUGCACAUACCCGCGAGAGUAGUCUCCCCAGAAUAUAGCUUUCAGAAUAUUACACUCUUAAAAGGGCUCUGAAAUGAUCUGAAAUACUUUUGCCUCGUCAAUAACAUAGUAGAUAAACAUAAGAUUAUAACUAAAGAUUCUAGUAAUGAAAAUGAAGCAUGUUAGUAAUAGUUAUUGAAAGUAAGGAAAAACCCAGCUUAAACUGACAAACAAACAGGCAAACAGAUUUUACUGACUAAGUCAAUUGAAAAGUCUAACCUGAUGUUUGGCUUCAAGAGCUCCAGGCUAUCAUGUUAAGGUUUGGUGUCUUUUGAUUUCUCAUCUCUUGGCCCCAUCUUCCUCAAUAAAUUGGCUUCAUUUGCAGAUAGGUUUUUCCCUCAUGGUUAUAUAGAUGGUUAUUAGCUAUCCUUGGCAUGUUUUUGUACAGAAGAAACGUGAAAUUCUCUUUUCUGAUGAUAUCCCCCAAUGUCUUGAGAUUCUCUUUCAUUGGACAAUUUUGGUCAUAUGACCAUCCCUAAACCAAUGGUUGUGACUAGGGGAAUGGAAUUCACUAGUAGGCUUGGGUCUAGAUAGCAUAUUCCACUCCUGGAGUUCCCUCAGAACUAGCAGAGACUGAAAGUGCUAGAUGAGAAGAUCCCUUAAUGAUGAUGAGAGAUUAUUUCCUGAAUUAGAGUGAAUGGUGACUAAACAACACAAAUAACAGAUGUAUAUGAGGUGCAUUUAUUAUCAAUUUAACCCCUUGUACACAGUGUUAGCACAACUUUUAAACUGGUGAACUUUAUGAAAUGUGGAGAUUUAGGUGGAUAUAAAAAUCAAACAAUGAAAAGCAUGUCAUUUUCUAUGAACUUUUUGUAAAAAACGUUUAAAGAACUGUACUCUGGUUACUCAGAAGAUCCUAAAAUGGCCUGUGAAUAAAUUACAAGAAAUCACAGAGGAUUUUCUGCCCAUCUCCUCCUACCCCCAAAACAAGAGAAAUAAAGGAAAGAAGAAAAAAAAAAGACUGUAGCUUUGAUGUGUGAUAUUUUAGAAGUUAAACAUAUUAUUCAAAAAAGGUAGGAAAUGGUAAAGUGGGAGUGAAAGAAGAUAAAACAACUUGUUUGUCAAUUAGUAAGAAAUUUGAGAAAAUAUUUUAAAUAUAAGAUCUAAAGAUUUAAUUUUUAAAUCACGUUUUAACUUCAAAAACAUAAAGUCUAUGCAACUUCUAAUAGUUAAGCUAAUUCUCGCCAUUUCAGCUCAAUAAGGCACAUGCUUCCAAUGCCACACAGAAGUUGUCAAGGUAGAGAAGGAAAAGAAAAAGAAACUUUUAUUCUAAGGUUUUAAAGAGAACGAGUUCUUUCAUACAAAUGGAAGUGCCUGUGGACUCUCAUCUGCAGAUUGCUCUUUAUCAGCGUUCAAUUCAACCCAAGGAACCAGGAACCGAGGAGGAAGGAAGUAAUUGACAUUCAAAGCCUCUAUUUUUAGACACCUUUACACUUUCUUUUGCUUCUAACUAGCAAGGAUUUUUCCAAACAAGCUUUUAAUUAGCAGGCUAGCUUCUUGACCUGACUGACCGUUGGUGCCCUUCAUUUAAUGCACCUCACAGCCUGGGAUCUUGACUCCUCUCCAUCCUGAAAAUCUGAAGUGAUUGCUUCUACAACUCUUGGACUUCAGUCUCCUGGACCUUUAACCUCAUUUACAUCCAGCUUUUUAUUGCCUAAGAAGACUGGGGCUUGCUUCGUUGCUUGGCUUUGCUGUGGAGCAGUCCUGUAAAGCCAGCUGAAUUGCACAUUGAAGAUCUACCCUUUGGUGAGUGGAAUCAUAGCUACAAUUUUGUGUUUUGCUCUGCCUCAUGUUGUUUGUAUUGUUGACCAAAGUGCUUUGAUACAGAGCACAAAAUAGGGCUUUUCCAGCUCCGUGUAGAAAAACUGGCUUUUUUU